UACAGAGGUCCCAAGCGUUGUUCGGAUUCACUGGGCGUAAAGGGUGCGUAGGCGGUCGGGUAAGUCUGGCGUGAAAUCUCCAAGCCUAACUUGGAAACUGCGUUGGAUACUAUCCGGCUCGAGGAAUGGAGGGGAGACUGGAAUACUUGGUGUAGCAGUGAAAUGCGUAGAUAUCAAGUGGAACACCAGUGGCGAAGGCGAGUCUCUGGACAACUUCUGACGCUGAGGCACGAAAGCUAGGGGAGCAAACAGG
This 253-nucleotide ribosomal RNA is filed under the name uncultured bacterium. RNAcentral's name for it is "partial 16S ribosomal RNA". It matches the Rfam family "Bacterial small subunit ribosomal RNA", at positions 524 to 776 of the family's 1533-position model. The record is from RNAcentral.